AUUGAACGCUGGCGGCAGGCUUAACACAUGCAAGUCGAGCGGAGAUGAGGUGCUUGCACCUUAUCUUAGCGGCGGACGGGUGAGUAAUGCUUAGGAAUCUGCCUAUUAGUGGGGGACGACAUUCCGAAAGGAAUGCUAAUACCGCAUACGUCCUACGGGAGAAAGCAGGGGAUCCUCGGACCUUGCGCUAAGAGAUGAGCCUAAGUCGGAUUAGGUAGUUGGUGGGGUAAAGGCCUACCAAGGCGACGAUCUGUAGCGGGUCUGAGAGGAGGAUCGGCCACACUGUGACUGAGACACAGGCCCGAGUCCUCCGGGGGGCAGCGGUGGGGAAUAUUGGGCAAUGGGGGGAACCCUGGUCCAGCCAUGCGGCGUGUGUGAAGAAGGCCUUAUGGUUGUAAAGCACUUUAAGCGAGGAGGAGGCUACUGAGACUAAUACUCUUGGAUAGUGGACGUUACUCGCAGAAUAAGCACCGGCUAACUCUGUGCCAGCAGCCGCAGUAA
This 501-nucleotide ribosomal RNA is filed under the name uncultured bacterium. RNAcentral's name for it is "partial 16S ribosomal RNA". It matches the Rfam family "Bacterial small subunit ribosomal RNA", at positions 30 to 523 of the family's 1533-position model. The record is from RNAcentral.